GGGGACUGGUGGGCAGGUCGGAGUUGCUCAUUGCCAGUUCUGAUGCCAUCCUUUUGCUGCUGACAGUCCUCCAGAAAGGGUGCACGCCAGGAGCGAGGGGGCUGCUCGGAGUUGCCGCCGGGUAGAGUAUGAGGAAGACCAACUCACUCUGUAGCACUGUCCAUCGCGGGGAUGUCCUCUGUGUGACAGAAGGAAGGACUACAGAGUGGGUAGACAUCGAUGAGGAACUGAUGGAGCUAAUGAUCAAGCAGCUCAUCUCAAACCACAGAGGAAAUCUGUAGCGGAACCAGGGAUGGCAUCUGGAUAUUCCUCUUUCCCUUCCCGCGCAUCCUAGGGCUGGAUCAUCCUUGGUAGCAUGUGAAGAGAUGACCAUGUUGGUAUUUGUUCUACUGCAAAUAUUUCCAACUGCAAAUGUACCUACACCAGCCAGAUAGAGGAUUGUAUUUAUUAUUUAUUAUUUGUGUAAACCUGAAUAAAAAUUUCUCUUUGUGAAAUGGCUAGCUAUGGCAGGUUACAAAUGCCAUUAAUAUUCUUUUACUCUCUCUAUGCUCCACAGUGAGGGGGUGACCCUUCUUUAUAAGGAAAUGGAGCAACUUGUGAGUAAUGGGUAAUUUCCUGAUAUACAAAUACUGCAGCCCAUCUUUUCCCUUCAGAUCUUCAGGUCACAUCUUUUAUCAUAGGUUUUUCCCCUGGUGGAGAACCACGUUAAGGUUUUUUGGAUAAUGUAGGGUUCAAUCCUAAACCCACAUAAAGCAAUAGGAAAUAUUGCCCCCGGGUACAGAUUAUGCCACAAUUGGAAGAAUGUGUAGCAAGAUAUUGAAUCUCUCUCCGAUCUCUGGGGUUAGAAAUCCUGAUGUUUUUCACCUCCGCAUCAGUAACUAAAGCACUACUUCAUCUAGCACCCCACAAAACUAGGAGGUUUUAUAUGAAACUGCUGCAUUUUGUCCAGCUCUGUUUAUGAUGCAAGGCCUGCACAGGAAGAAUCAAUUCCUUAUGUAAAAUCAUCAAUAGCUGCCUAGAAAAAAGGCCAUGAUUAUUUGUUCAUAUUUGCAUCAUUUUAUAUACACUCAGAAAGCCCUGAAAAAGGUCGAGUGAGCAUAAAACAAAGUUAAACUAUAUUCAAAACUUUCCAGCCCCCACUCUUCAAGUCAGAACACCAGGGUUAAAUCUGUUUCUAUUUAGACAAAACCCAACCAGUAUUUUUAUUAUCCUGCCUGCAAAGCGUUGGAUGUGCAUGUGUGGAAAAUGCAUUGUCUCUUUAAAUAAAAGGACUGUGGCUGGAUUAUUUGCCCC
Molecule: long non-coding RNA, 1293 nt
Organism: Alligator sinensis (Chinese alligator)
Lineage: Eukaryota; Metazoa; Chordata; Crocodylia; Alligatoridae
Exons: 3
Source: RefSeq, a predicted model, not a curated record